RNAcentral lists this ribosomal RNA (380 nucleotides) under uncultured Lachnospiraceae bacterium. RNAcentral describes it as "bacterial SSU rRNA". It matches the Rfam family "Bacterial small subunit ribosomal RNA", at positions 355 to 753 of the family's 1533-position model. Lineage: Bacteria; Bacillati; Bacillota; Clostridia; Lachnospirales; Lachnospiraceae. The record is from RNAcentral.
UGGGGAAUAUUGCACAAUGGAGGAAACUCUGAUGCAGCGACGCCGCGUGAGUGAAGAAGUAAUUCGUUAUGUAAAGCUCUAUCAGCAGGGAAGAUAGUGACGGUACCUGACUAAGAAGCUCCGGCUAAAUACGUGCCAGCAGCCGCGGUAAUACGUAUGGAGCAAGCGUUAUCCGGAUUUACUGGGUGUAAAGGGAGCGUAGGCGGUCUUAUAAGUCUGAUGUGAAAGCCCGGGGCUCAACCCCGGGACUGCAUUGGAAACUGUAGGACUAGAGUGUCGGAGGGGUAAGUGGAAUUCCUAGUGUAGCGGUGAAAUGCGUAGAUAUUAGGAGGACACCAGUGGCGAAGGCGGCUUACUGGACGAUUACUGACGCUGAGGCU